GACGAACGCUGGCGGCGUGCCUAAUACAUGCAAGUAGAACGCUGAAGAGAGGAGCUUGCUCUUCUUGGAUGAGUUGCGAACGGGUGAGUAACGCGUAGGUAACCUGCCUUGUAGCGGGGGAUAACUAUUGGAAACGAUAGCUAAUACCGCAUAACAAUGGAUGACACAUGUCAUUUAUUUGAAAGGGGCAAUUGCUCCACUACAAGAUGGACCUGCGUUGUAUUAGCUAGUAGGUGAGGUAAUGGCUCACCUAGGCGACGAUACAUAGCCGACCUGAGAGGGUGAGCGGCCACACUGGGACUGAGACACGGCCCAGACUCCUACGGGAGGCAGCAGUAGGGAAUCUUCGGCAAUGGGGGCAACCCUGACCGAGCAACGCCGCGGGAGUGAAGAAGGUUUUCGGAUCGGAAAGCUCUGUUGUAAGUCAAGAACGGGUGUGAGAGUGGAAAGUUCACACUGUGACGGUAGCUUACCAGAAAGGGACGGCUAACUACGUG
RNAcentral lists this ribosomal RNA (497 nucleotides) under uncultured bacterium. RNAcentral describes it as "partial 16S ribosomal RNA". It matches the Rfam family "Bacterial small subunit ribosomal RNA", at positions 28 to 507 of the family's 1533-position model. The record is from RNAcentral.